This 64-nucleotide microRNA precursor is filed under the name Myotis lucifugus (little brown bat). Its description in RNAcentral is "mir-9242 microRNA precursor family". It matches the Rfam family "mir-9242 microRNA precursor family". Lineage: Eukaryota; Metazoa; Chordata; Mammalia; Chiroptera; Vespertilionidae. The record is from Rfam by way of RNAcentral.
GGCCUCCCUCUGUGGGGUGAUCAAUCCUGGAGCCCUGUGAUAGAUUGCCCCACAGAGGGAGGCC